Long non-coding RNA from Triticum aestivum (bread wheat), 715 nucleotides. RefSeq lists it as uncharacterized. The transcript is spliced from 3 exons. The record is from RefSeq and is a predicted model, not a curated record. Lineage: Eukaryota; Viridiplantae; Streptophyta; Magnoliopsida; Poales; Poaceae.
UGCCAAUGUGCUGAAGGCCAUGCUCGUAGGUUUUUCUUAACUCCUCAAGAUGUUAGCACUUUCCAAUUCGGUGCAGAAUCAAUGUUGUUUGUUGUUCUAUUUGGUGCAGGAUCAAUGUUGUUUGUUGUUCUGUUCCAUGAUUCCCGCGAUUUUUUUGUUUCAUCAAAGGUGGUGUGGCUAUGAUACUAAGGGAGACUGUGUGGCGGUGUUUCAGGUUCGAGAUCAUUCAGUAGUGCCUCAUCAAGAAAGUGUGCUCUGUUCUUGGCUUUAAGAGAUUAGCUUCAAGAGAGCAAAUGAAUAUGACGAUCACUGAAUGACAGGUCGGUCUUUCUGGAUCGGAAGGAAUUUUUUUUAGCUUGGCCUUUGAGUUUCAUAAAUUCAGAAUAAGUUCCUACACCUGUCGUAACUGGACAAAUCAUGCAUGCACGGCUCAGGAAUGAGGACUCUAAAAUGGAUGGAGGAGGAGCUAUAGUUCAGCAGCCAAAUACAGCAGGCAUGCACAACUAUAUCAUAUUACAGUACUUAAUGGAAGCACUUUUCUUUAACUUUCUUCCAUGAUUUUCAUUAUGUGAAUUUGAUUACUAUGAUGCCAGGUAACUUGACUAUUCAGUAUCUUUAUUUGAGGUCUACACCUAAUAAUUUUCUUUCUAAAGAACACCUCUGAAGUUUCAUUACACAUGGGAUGAAUCACUAGAAACUCGAGUAUUUAGUGUUU